NNNNNNNNNNNNNNNNNNNNNNNNNNNNNNNNNNNNNNNNNNNNNNNNNNNNNNNCCCAGUGCUCGAAAUGUCAAGCUGCCGAAGGGCAGUAACGCACGGGUUAACGGCGGACGUAACUAUGACGUUCUUAAGGUAGCCAAAUGCCUCGUCAUCUAAUUAGUGACGCGCAUGAAUGGAUCAACUAGAUUCCCACUGUCCCUACUUACUUCUAGUGAAACCACAGCCAAGGGAACGGGCUUGGAAAGAACAGCGGGGAAAGAAGACCCUAUUGAGCUUGACUCUAGUGUGCAAGCGGUAGAUCAUGGUGGCGGUGUAGACAGGUGGGUGCGUGAAAGACCACUGCGUUUUUGUGAUGUACCUAUUGUUGCAGAUGGGGAGUUUGGCUGGGGCGGCACAUCUACUAGAAAGCAACGUAGAUGUCCUAAGGUAGACACUGGGAGGACGGAAACCUCGCUUUGCGCACAAGGGCACAAGUCUGCUUAAUACUUAAUAUAUUGCGAAAGCACGGCCUAGCGAUCCCCUAGGCUGCGGUCUGUGCACCUAGGGGUGACAGAAAAGUUACCAUAGGGAUAACUGGUUUGUUGCGUAUAAGCGUCCUUAGCGUCUACGCAGUUUGAUUCUUCGAUGUCGGCUCUUCCUAUCAUUGCGAAGCAGGAUUCGCAAAGUGUUGGAUUGUUCACCCAUAAGAAGGGAACGUGAGCUGGGUUUAGACCGUCGUGAGACAGGUUAGUUUUACCCUACUGUUCGGAGCCUGCAAGCAGUGCGUACAAGUACGAGAGGAACGUAUUCACGGGACCACUGGUUACGCGCUUAUCUGACAAGGUACGGUGCUCCGCUACGUCCUCGCAGUUAACGGCUGAAAGCCUCUAAGCCGGAAACUGCCCUUGCGCAGGCUCGAGCUCCGCUCAAAGACGAUGAGCGUAAGAAUAGUGAAGCUGUACGUGUGCGAGCUGUUGCGAGACACUGAGGCUGCUAAGUUCUUCCGGGGCGCAUGUGCAGAAGCUACUUGCAAGUGGUUGCACAGGAACGAAACUAUUUAUUGGAUACAGUUUGUGUAUCUUUUUUAUAGUAUAAUUUAAAACUUUUUGAAAAUUUUGGCCGCGCCGUUGAGUUUCUUAUGUGGGAUUUUUGCCCCUUUUGGAGGGGGUCUGGACCCCCAGUGGACCCGCUAGUACGUUUAAUAGAGUGUACUCGGUUAUUAGAGUGGA
Molecule: non-coding RNA, 1209 nt
Filed under: Coniosporium apollinis CBS 100218
Lineage: Eukaryota; Fungi; Ascomycota; Dothideomycetes
Description: Eukaryotic large subunit ribosomal RNA
Rfam family: Eukaryotic large subunit ribosomal RNA (bases 1-994)
Source: Rfam by way of RNAcentral